This 613-nucleotide ribosomal RNA is filed under the name uncultured Flavobacteriia bacterium. RNAcentral describes it as "bacterial SSU rRNA". It matches the Rfam family "Bacterial small subunit ribosomal RNA", at positions 39 to 645 of the family's 1533-position model. Lineage: Bacteria; Pseudomonadati; Bacteroidota; Flavobacteriia. The record is from RNAcentral.
GCGGCAGGCUUAACACAUGCAAGUCGAGGGGUAACAGGGAUUGCUUGCAAUCCGCUGACGACCGGCGCACGGGUGCGUAACGCGUAUGCAACCUACCUUCUACAGGGGGAUAGUCAAUAGAAAUGUUGAAUAAUACCCCAUACGAUCAUUAAUCUGCAUGGAUUGAUGAAGAAAGUUCCGGCGGUAGAAGAUGGGCAUGCGUCCUAUUAGUUAGUUGGUAAGGUAACGGCUUACCAAGACAUCGAUAGGUAGGGGUCCUGAGAGGGAGAUCCCCCACACUGGUACUGAGACACGGACCAGACUCCUACGGGAGGCAGCAGUGAGGAAUAUUGGACAAUGGAGGCAACUCUGAUCCAGCCAUGCCGCGUGCAGGAAGACUGCCCUAUGGGUUGUAAACUGCUUUUAUACAGGAAGAAUAGGACCUACGUGUAGGUAUUUGACGGUACUGUACGAAUAAGGAUCGGCUAACUCCGUGCCAGCAGCCGCGGUAAUACGGAGGAUCCAAGCGUUAUCCGGAAUCAUUGGGUUUAAAGGGUCCGUAGGCGGUCUGAUAAGUCAGAGGUGAAAUCCUGCAGCUCAACUGUAGCAUUGCCUUUGAUACUGUUAGACUUGA